RNAcentral lists this ribosomal RNA (450 nucleotides) under uncultured bacterium. Its description in RNAcentral is "partial 16S ribosomal RNA". It matches the Rfam family "Bacterial small subunit ribosomal RNA", at positions 29 to 523 of the family's 1533-position model. The record is from RNAcentral.
AGCGAACGCUGGCGGCAGGCUUAACACAUGCAAGUCGAGCGGGCACUUCGGUGUCAGCGGCAGACGGGUGAGUAACGCGUGGGAACGUGCCCUUCGGUUCGGAAUAACUCAGGGCAACUUGAGCUAAUACCGGAUACGCCCUUUUGGGGAAAGGUUUAUCUGCGGAAGGAUCGGCCCGCGUCUGAUUAGCUAGUUGGUGAGGUUAUGGCUCACCAAGGCGACGAUCAGUAGCUGGUCUGAGAGGAUGAUCAGCCACACUGGGACUGAGACACGGCCCAGACUCGUACGGGAGGCGGCACUGGGGAAUAUUGGACAAUUGGGGCAACCCUGAUCCAGCCAUGCCGCGUGAGUGAUGACGGCCUUAGGGUUGUAAGGCUCUUUUCUCCGGGACGAUAAUGACGGUACAGGAGGCAUAAGCCCCGGCUAACUUCGGGCCAGCCGCCGCCGUAA